UCACGGCCGACUGCGGUUACGCAACUCAUUAAUUAAUUUAAUAAUUAAGAAAACAGUUUCAUUUCAGUUUCAGUAAUCGACUAUAAGUUUAAGCUAAAAAAGAAUUCAAUCAAACACAAAUUUGAACAAUAUUAUAUAGGGAAAUGAAUUUGUCCUUUCACACAGGGACCAGCGAGUUUGAUGUACCCCUAACGUAGCUGAAUUUCAUGAGCUAGAAUUACCACUCACCAUUAUAAGAGUCCUAGGGACGCCUGCCGUCUAAAACAAUGAAAAAGAAACGAAUAACUGGAAUAACAUCGAUUUCGCGGCUGCCGAAUGAUAAAGACCCAAGUAUGCUGUUGAAGGUAGACCAGCUUGCGCCCACACAGGAAUACCAGGUUUACACCCAAACUCCUAGACGUCAUCAAGCGUCAUUCGUCCCUUCUUUAAGAGAAACACAUGACGUCAUAACUUAUCGUGCUCAUCCCGUACUCAUCUUCCGGCGUGACCUAACAAAUAAAUAAACCAAAUGUUGGUGUCGUAGAAAGUACAACAAAACCGUGUUAUAGCGUAAAGCAGGUGCGAACGACCUUCCCGUCCCGGGGCAGUGACAAGGAAUUCCAGUGAACGACCGCACCUGUGAAUUCGCGUUGGUUUCUAAAUUCGAAAUCAGUCGUGUCCUUGUACCUACCUACCGACGUCUUACCUACAUUGAUAAUGUGUUCUAUGAAUACUAUAUUUUAACUAAUUUAUUUCAUGGGUAUUCGAUUAUAAUUUUUACAUA
Molecule: long non-coding RNA, 763 nt
Organism: Bombyx mori (domestic silkworm)
Lineage: Eukaryota; Metazoa; Arthropoda; Insecta; Lepidoptera; Bombycidae
Exons: 4
Source: RefSeq, a predicted model, not a curated record